GCCCGGAUGGCGAAAUCGGUAGACGCAAGAGACUUAAAAUCUCUCGGGGGAAACCCCGUGCCGGUUCAAGUCCGGCUCCGGGCACCA
This 87-nucleotide transfer RNA is filed under the name Vreelandella boliviensis LC1. RNAcentral describes it as "Halomonas boliviensis LC1 tRNA-Leu". It matches the Rfam family "tRNA". Rfam says of the family: Transfer RNA (tRNA) molecules are approximately 80 nucleotides in length. Their secondary structure includes four short double-helical elements and three loops (D, anti-codon, and T loops). Lineage: Bacteria; Pseudomonadati; Pseudomonadota; Gammaproteobacteria; Oceanospirillales; Halomonadaceae. The record is from RNAcentral. RNAcentral also lists the same sequence under 17 other names.